CGUCGUGCUGGAGCCCGGCGACCUCGUCGUGGUCGACAACCACGUGGCGGCGCACGGCCGCAGCGCGUUCGUCCCGCGGUACGACGGCC
RNAcentral lists this transfer RNA (89 nucleotides) under Streptomyces paromomycinus. RNAcentral describes it as "tRNA-Val". The record is from RNAcentral. Lineage: Bacteria; Bacillati; Actinomycetota; Actinomycetes; Kitasatosporales; Streptomycetaceae.